Long non-coding RNA from Perca fluviatilis (European perch), 326 nucleotides. RefSeq lists it as uncharacterized. The transcript has 3 exons. NCBI's taxonomy places the organism in Eukaryota, Metazoa, Chordata, Actinopteri, Perciformes, Percidae. The record is from RefSeq and is a predicted model, not a curated record.
UAAUACUGUACAGCAAUGCGGUCCUCAUGUAUAGAACAGAGGGGUCACACAAGACUGGAAGAACAGCUUAACAGCACUUUGAGAAGAGAAACCAGGUUCCAUUGAGUUUCAUUUGGAGAAGAGUUCAUCUCUGGGCUGAGACAGGCUUACUGCAGCAGCUUAAACGGCCGGUAUCAAGAUGCCCACCACCAACAGAAUCAUUUCUGACACCUGGAUGUCAGAUAAAGUAAAAAAAGCUCAAGAUCUCAGUUCGCCAUCUCCAGUUCACCUGUCCUUGUCUGACUCCUCUGUCACUCCUCAGAGAAGAUCCCAGUCUACGUCAAAAU